This 628-nucleotide ribosomal RNA is filed under the name uncultured Comamonadaceae bacterium. RNAcentral's name for it is "bacterial SSU rRNA". It matches the Rfam family "Bacterial small subunit ribosomal RNA", at positions 9 to 634 of the family's 1533-position model. The record is from RNAcentral. Lineage: Bacteria; Pseudomonadati; Pseudomonadota; Betaproteobacteria; Burkholderiales; Comamonadaceae.
GAGUUUGAUCAUGGCUCAGGUUGAACGCUGGCGGCAUGCUUUACACAUGCAAGUCGAACGGUAACAGGUCUUCGGAUGCUGACGAGUGGCGAACGGGUGAGUAAUGCAUCGGAACGUGCCCAGUCGUGGGGGAUAACGCAGCGAAAGCUGUGCUAAUACCGCAUACGAUCUGCGGAUGAAAGCGGGGGACCUUUGGGCCUCGCGCGACUGGAGCGGCCGAUGGCAGAUUAGGUAGUUGGUGGGGUAAAGGCUCACCAAGCCGACGAUCUGUAGCUGGUCUGAGAGGAUGAUCAGCCACACUGGGACUGAGACACGGCCCAGACUCCUACGGGAGGCAGCAGUGGGGAAUUUUGGACAAUGGGCGAAAGCCUGAUCCAGCCAUUCCGCGUGCAGGAUGAAGGCCUUCGGGUUGUAAACUGCUUUUGUACGGAACGAAAAGGCUCUGGUUAAUACCCGGGGUUGAUGACGGUACCGUAAGAAUAAGCACCGGCUAACUACGUGCCAGCAGCCGCGGUAAUACGUAGGGUGCAAGCGUUAAUCGGAAUUACUGGGCGUAAAGCGUGCGCAGGCGGUGAUGUAAGACAGAGGUGAAAUCCCCGGGCUCAACCUGGGAACUGCCUUUGUGACU